Molecule: ribosomal RNA, 669 nt
Filed under: uncultured bacterium
Lineage: Bacteria
Description: bacterial SSU rRNA
Rfam family: Bacterial small subunit ribosomal RNA
Source: RNAcentral
AGAGUUUGAUCCUGGCUCAGGACGAACGCUGGCGGCGUGCUUAACACAUGCAAGUCGAACGGAAAGGCCCUUCGGGGUACUCGAGUGGCGAACGGGUGAGUAACACGUGGGUGAUCUGCCCUGCACUUUGGGAUAAGCCUGGGAAACUGGGUCUAAUACCGAAUAUGACCAUGCACUUCCUGGUGUGUGGUGGAAAGCUUUUGCGGUGUGGGAUGGGCCCGCGGCCUAUCAGCUUGUUGGUGGGGUAAUGGCCUACCAAGGCGACGACGGGUAGCCGGCCUGAGAGGGUGACCGGCCACACUGGGACUGAGAUACGGCCCAGACUCCUACGGGAGGCAGCAGUGGGGAAUAUUACACAAUGGGCGCAAGCCUGAUGCAGCGACGCCGCGUGAGGGAUGACGGCCUUCGGGUUGUAAACCUCUUUCAGCACAGACGAAGCGCAAGUGACGGUAUGUGCAGAAGAAGGACCGGCCAACUACGUGCCAGCAGCCGCGGUAAUACGUAGGGUCCGAGCGUUGUCCGGAAUUACUGGGCGUAAAGAGCUCGUAGGUGGUUUGUCGCGUUGUUCGUGAAAACUCACAGCUUAACUGUGGGCGUGCGGGCGAUACGGGCAGACUUGAGUACUGCAGGGGAGACUGGAAUUCCUGGUGUAGCGGUGAAAUGCGUAGA